This 3785-nucleotide long non-coding RNA is filed under the name Lactuca sativa (garden lettuce). RNAcentral describes it as "long non-coding RNA (LSAT_LNC009816)". The record is from RNAcentral. Lineage: Eukaryota; Viridiplantae; Streptophyta; Magnoliopsida; Asterales; Asteraceae.
GCUUUGCCCCCCUGAUAUUUGGGGUUAGAAAUAGCAAAUAUAUCUUCAAAAAUUUUAAUUAUAGGCCUCUUAAUGUCAAAAUUGGGCUGUGGCCCCUACUGAUUUCAGUCCGAUUUCCAAAGCAAACGACAAUAAGUCAAAAUCGAUUUGUAUCUUACCCAGUUCCUCCCCCAUCGUAUCCUCCCCCAUCAUCGCUAGUCGCUACCUCCGUACCUCGCUCAAUCGCUGCCUGUCGGUCUCGCCAUUCACCACUGCAACAUCUGGUCACUGGAAAUCAGGCAUGUGAUUCUCCUGCUCUUUCUUCUCCUGUUCUCCCGUUCUACCAAUCUCUCAGAUUGAUCUAUUCUUGAAAUUGGAAUAGUAGAAUUAGGAAUUAGAAUUUACAAAUUUGAAAACUCCAUUCUCAUAUCCUGAGUUAGUUUAUGUUUUUGACUUAGUUGUCUAGUACUCUAGUUGAUGACCUGUUUAGCUCUUUAAGUAAUCAAGCUGUCGAGUAAUGACACCGCAGUAACAGAAAAAAAAAAGAUUGAUUUGGUUCUACUUCAUAGAAAAUCAAAGUGAAUGGGGGACCACGAUGUGCUGGAUUGUUAGAAAACUUCAUAUUGAAUUGGAGUGUGGGAUGCCUGCCAGUCACCACUGUCCAUCGUAGCUCCGCCGGUCACCACCGUCCACCUGCUGUUGAGCUGUUCUGCACUUCUGCUGUUCUUUCUGGUUCACAGAACUAAAGAAAAUCAGGUAUGCUCUUGAGUUAUCUCUCGUUCGGCUAUUAUGUCUUCUCUCUUUUCCAAUUCUACUGGAAAUUAGCGGUCAAUCUAUUUAGUCUUGAAACUUGAGUAUUGAAUUUGUUUCCUCCACUUCGCCAUUUUGCUUGUUGUUGGGAUUUGGUGUACAACUAAUUAUGAUUUUCACACACAUUUAAAUGGAUUUGUGCAGAAAAUUGCUAAUGUUUGUCUAGAAUGAAUUGAUUGAUGCGUAAUAUGAAUUGUUCCUCCAUUUGCUUGUUAUUGGAAUUUGGUAAUCAACUAAUUAGGAUUUCACACACUGUUAAAUGUUCUCUUUUGCAGAAAUUUGCUAAUGUUUUGUCUAAAUUUAGCUGACGAGUGAUGAGUGAUGAGCAUUGCUCUUGUUUACCUAAUAUUUGAAUUUCAUUGACCUAAAUUUGAUUUAAGUUAGAGGGCUGAUUUUGAAUGAAAUUUUCCUCCAUUUUGAUUUUUAUAGAUACAACCACGGUAAUUUUAGGUAUUUUGGUGCUUAAUUGCUGAAAAUUGGGUAACGUUAAUUUUAAGUUCUACGUUCAAGCUCUGCCCCUAGUCGUGCGAUGUAUAAAGGGGACGUUUAGCUAUAGUAACUUUACUUCACAUAAUAAAACUUACAUUUUAGUAGUAUUUAUAAUAUAUAUGAUGAGUAUAAUGAUAAUAAAAAUAAUAUUAAAGUAUCACUUAAUUAGUGAAAACACGCUAAAGGUCAUUAACUAAAAACAUUAAACGGUUUAUUUAAUGCAUCAAAAAAAGAAAAUUGGAUAAUCUAACUCGCAUAAACAAUUAUUUUAAUAAUAAUAACCAAAUUAUAUAUAUAUAUAUAUANNNNNNNNNNNNNNNNNNNNNNNNNNNNNNNNNNNNNNNNNNNNNNNNNNNNNNNNNNNNNNNNNNNNNNNNNNNNNNNNNNNNNNNNNNNNNNNNNNNNNNNNNNAGAGAGAGAGAGAGCGACCUAGAUUCAAAUGUGGAUUGACAUCUAUUGUGUGGACGUGUGGACAGUACUAUCAUGUGAUAAUGACAAAGAAAAUACGUUGUUUAAUAAUAUGAAUACAUUUAAUUUUACAUAACUAUUGUCAUUAUCACACAUUCUCACUAAUUAAAUCGUCUAUAAGGUUAUUAUAGACUUUGUAUUAUUAUUCUCAUUCUGUCAGAAUGUUUAUUGAGUCAUAUUCUGUAAGAAUGAAAAUGAGUGAAAAAUGAUGUGUGAGAACAAAAAUGAAUAAGAAUUGGUGAGAAUGCAUAAAAAUGGUGAAAAAUGACCACAAUAUCUGGAAUAUAGCAUUCCAGGGUAGCACUAUUCAUUUCGAAAUAUGUCUUCGUAUAUUUCGGAUAGACAAAGUCAAAACCAGAGUACGGUAGUCAACAUGUACAUAUAUAUGACAUUAAAAAAUGAANNNNNNNNNNNNNNNNNNNNNNNNNNNNNNNNNNNNNNNNNNNNNNNNNNNNNNNNNNNNNNNNNNNNNNNNNNNNAUAUAUAUAUAUAUAUAUAUGAAGAAAAAUGUUGUUAGUCACUUACUUCCAAUCAUCCGUAUUUAUUAGUUAUAACUGCUUCAAGAUGAGUUUCUCAAAUAGUGACCAGGAAAAAAGCUUUACCAACUUAUAUGUUUACUUACACAACAUUCGGUGGACCAACCUUCAUAGUUACAUCAACAUUAAAACUAAAGUGAUGGAUCAUUUCCAACUCUGCUUUGUGUUUAUUGCAUAUGUGGUAAAAUUAUUUUGUACCAUAUUUUAAUUGUUUCUUUGAAAUGUAUAAUGUUUCUACAAUUAAUUGGUUUUUUCCAAAAAAAUAUACAGCUUCAUGUAUCCAUAGGUUGUUUGUUGUCUGUCAUCUUUAUAGGUAGUGUUCUUCUAAGAUGGGACUACCUAAUGAUAAUGUUCAUAGCAUUUGCUAUGGAUGAAAACAACCAUACUCUGCCUAUAGCAUUUGGUAACGGUGUGACAAAUAAUGUUGACAAUUGUAUCUAGUUCUUGAUAUGGUUGAAGGAAGCUCACAAAGAGGAUAUGGAAGUAUCAUUUUUAACCAUUAUGGAUGAUGUCAUUAGUUCUUGCAUAGGUUAGGCAUUCCUUGAUUCUUAUCAUGGUAUUAUUCUAAGUUUGAGUUCAUGUAUUUGUGAACAGGAAUUAGUGGAAAUAGACAAUUGGAACAUUUGUACUUCUAUGCAUGCAAAUCAUAUACUAUGUCUGAUUUUCAACAAACACUCCGUUAACUAAGUCAUGAUGCAUGUAAGGUGCUUGCCAAAAUCGGUCAUGCAAAAUGGGGAAGAGUCUAUUUUUCUAACAUUCGUUGGAAUGUACUUAACAUUGAUAUUCUAGAAUUAUCCUAGUAUUAUCGGUUAAUCAAUGCAAUGUACCAAUAAUAACACUUAGUGAGGUAAUUAUGACAACAUCCAACAUACUUUUGUUGAACGCAUUCUCAUGGGAGGUAAAAUACCAAAAAAGAAUAUUGAAUUAUUUUUUACUUGAAAAAUAACCAUAAAUGAUAAUAUUUUACUUUUUAGGGAGGUUGACUAGCAAACUCAUCCCGUAUGUAGAGACGAUGCUUUAUAGGAGGAUGCAAAAGUGUGUUCGGUGGCAAGAAAUAAAUAUCCCACCCGAGAUACUGUCUUUGUUCCCGUCCAACGUUUUUUAAGUUUUUGAUUUUAAAACAACUUGUGUGGUAGAUCUGAACCACCACAUAUGUUCAUGUACGAAAUGGCGCAGUCUGGAUAUAGUGGAUAUAGCAUGCAGUCAUGCUAUUGCGGCAUAUCAUUAUUCAAACAUCACAUAUUUAGACGAUAUGGUUAAGGUAUAUUACCAAGAUGACGUGUUUCAAACUACAUACCAGACGCAAAAUACGCACUAUGUUCCCCUCCAUCUGAAUGGGAAAUACCGGACCCAUUGAUGGUUGUUUUAAUCUCUAUGUAACCAUAUAUUUAUUUUUAUCGUAGUUAAUUAUGUGUUUAAUCGAUUUGGAGUGACUAAUAAAAAUUAUUGUUGCCCUAAUAUUUUUACAAAUUACAAGAUGAAAAAACAUAAUUUAGUAAUAAC